GUCCCAGUUCGGAUCGCAGGCUGCAACCCGCCUGCGUGAAGUCGGAAUCGCUAGUAAUCGCGGAUCAGCAUGCCGCGGUGAAUACGUUCCCGGGCCUUGUACACACCGCCCGUCACACCAUGAGAGUCGAGAACACCCGAAGCCCGUAGCCUAACAGCAAUGAGGGCGCGGUCGAAGGUGGGUUCGAUAAUUGGGGUGAAGUCGUAACAAGGUAGC
Molecule: ribosomal RNA, 216 nt
Filed under: uncultured bacterium
Lineage: Bacteria
Description: partial 16S ribosomal RNA
Rfam family: Bacterial small subunit ribosomal RNA
Source: RNAcentral